This is a long non-coding RNA of Suricata suricatta (meerkat), 911 nucleotides long. RefSeq lists it as uncharacterized. NCBI's taxonomy places the organism in Eukaryota, Metazoa, Chordata, Mammalia, Carnivora, Herpestidae. The transcript has 3 exons. The record is from RefSeq and is a predicted model, not a curated record.
GAACGCAUGGCGCUCUCCAUGUUGACUCUGCUAAGACCAAUAAUGCCCUUGGUGGCGUCACUUUAAUUUGUGCUCCCGAAGGCAAACUGCUGUCCUCAGAGCCUUGGAGGAUAUUGUUUAUAUUAAAGAUGGGGACAGAGGGGGAAACCAGACCUGAUCUGCAGCAGCGGAUGGACAGAUGUUAGGGAGAGCCUGUGGUUUCUGGAAGUUCAAAUCCUGCCACCCGCACCUCCCGGAUGAGGCCCUUAUCUAGUCCAAAAGAUAUGGCAGGAGGUUCUCGGCAAUGUUGGGGUUCUCCGUGCAGGCAAAGCCCAGGGGACUGGGUUACAAGGUCACCGCUGACUGAGAGGCAAGAACAGAAGAGAAAUAGUCUGGGCAGAGUCUCAGGCAGAUACUCCAACCUAUCCAGGCUGCAGAUGAAGGCAGGGGGAGAGCAGAAGGAGGAGAGAGCCUGCCUUGGUGAAGAGGGACUUCCAGGAAGAAGAUACAGAGCUCCUGAAAGCAGCCAUAGGAGUAACCCAUGGAAGAGUCGCUCCCAGCACCCCCGUCCCCCAGCCCCUGGAUUUACCCAUUCUGGACUUUGCGCAUAAAUGGAAUCAUACAGCAUGUGGUCUUUCGCGUCUGGCUUCUUACUACCUGGCAUAAUAUUGUCAAGUCUCGCCCAUGUUGUGGCAUGAACCAGCCCUUCAUUCACGGUGAGGCUCAGAGGUCAAGCAGUUUCUGUUGGAUGAAAGACCCCAAAGUAAGUGUCAUCAGUCUGGAAAGAGAAAGUCUGAGGACAGACAGGAUCAAAGGAUGAAACAUCUGAAGACAUGUGGCUGGGCGAAUAUCAAGUAGCCCACGCCCCAGGACCACAGGAGGGCCUCCCGGAUGCUGGGAAGGGGCUAUGUGGGGGCAAAUAAAAGCAAGCA